UGGAGGACUGACUUUUGAGGUCGUUCCAGGGUCUCCAAGGUUCCUUGAUUAACCUUUUUUGGAGUUGCAUCUGUGGGGCAAAAGAUCUCCGCAUACUUUCUUAUGGAUUCAACUGAAUUCAUGACAGACCUGGGGCCAAUCCGCCGUGCCAUGCCUUUCACGCUCCCUGUUGAGUGUCACUUUAACAGAGCUGUGGAGAAGGUUAUUGUCCAACGAAGAGUACACCAUUGGUCACCCCAUGUACUUCCAGGCAGACGGACCUCCUCUUGCUGAGGACGAGAGGCUGUUUUUAGAUUUGUGCUAUGUGACUAUUAGCAGUUCACAUUGUCCAUGCCACGAUUUACAGUCAUUGAAAACCAUGGGUAACACUUCGUUUUUAUAAAGUGAAUGUAAGAAUACAUUUUAUUUUAUUAAUAUUUAAAG
Molecule: long non-coding RNA, 423 nt
Filed under: Sinocyclocheilus grahami
Lineage: Eukaryota; Metazoa; Chordata; Actinopteri; Cypriniformes; Cyprinidae
Description: lncRNA (ENSSGRG00000007752.1)
Source: RNAcentral